This 631-nucleotide long non-coding RNA is filed under the name Fukomys damarensis (Damara mole-rat). RNAcentral describes it as "lncRNA (ENSFDAG00000027794.1)". The record is from RNAcentral. Lineage: Eukaryota; Metazoa; Chordata; Mammalia; Rodentia; Bathyergidae.
AGACACCUCAUUCCGUGACUCCACACACCUCUCAUGCUGGGAAGCUUCCACCUACUCCUUCUCCUCCUCCUUGCACCACCCAGUUUAAUCGCUACCAAUGUCCUGAACCACUUCCUUGAUCUUCUGACAGCGUGCAUCCGUGAGUGAGUCACUUUCUGAGCAAAGCCUUAUUCACCUUCCCCCAUUUCCGAUAUCGGCCUGGAUGAACAGUUUAGAGUGGAAGAAGAACUGUGUAAAGGGAAGGGUCACAAGAGAACCUGGGACUGUGAAAGCAUAAGGAUCCCACACAUCCAUUGCUUGGAUUUGGGAAGCCAGAAACAAUCAUGUCCCUACACGACAUCUUCAGUAGACUUCGAAGACUCCGUGGCAGGAAGUGUCUGGGAAAGAAAUUAGGGACUUCAGGACAGUGACUAAUCUGGGUCCCUUUCCCUACGGAGCACCAGCAACCUUAGAAAACAGCAACCCAUGAUUGACUUUGGUGUGGGCAAGGAUGGGAGCAUGACAGAAAUUUGAAUGAACAGAAGCACAACAGAUAAUUUCGUGUGGUUAACAAGAAGAGGAUUUCAGGCAGCACAGAGACAUUGUUUGUGAGGGCUUUUAGAACUGCUUUGGAGUAAUUAAAGUGAAACUG